AGGGAGGGAACUAACUUAACCCUGUGUGCGCCUGACACUCCCUAGAGAAGCUGGGAUCGACUAGGAAACCGCAGGCAGCGGCUCCCGGGGGCGAGAGCUUUGUUCACGUGCGUUUCCAGUGGGUGUGUUGCUGUCUAGGGGCACUCGCGUGGCAAGACGCCCGUGGCUGGCUUCCAGCGCCCAAGAUUCAAGGAAGGGAAGGAGCCCUAGCGUUUCAUCCGGACCAGACCCAGCCCUCGGAGUCUAUUUUUUGCCUCCAGUUACCGGAUUUAUUGAAGUUGCCAGCGAAGUUGGUUUUAUUCCUUUACUUCUCUGCUCUCCGCCCCCGUCCACAUCCCCCAACCCUGUAUUAUUUCCUGUCCUAGCUGCGCUUUAAAGAUUCGGAACUUUUCACUCGUUCUAGCUACAGAUUUUAACUGUGUUCCGUGUGCGAGACGAAUUGUGGAGGGCACCCACCCACCCAUGCCAAGUGUAAAUGAAACCGCAAGAAAAGCUGCCUCCCACUCACCCAUCCAGUGUCCGAGUAAGCCUAAUGACACACAUUCACAUAACUAAGAAGACACGGGAAGAUAGGGGUGCGGAGGACGGAGUUUGAUGUGUGAAUGGGAAAUGGAGAGAGGGGACAGCGCGCGCGAGAGAAACAGCGCGAGCCUGAGCCUUAGAAUGGAAUAAACGGGAAACACACACAAGAAUGACGAUGCAAAAAAUGUAUCUAAGUCCCAACAUUGACAGCAGAGGGUCAGCUUUAAGCGCCUACAUUUUGAUCCGCGAAAUUUCCCAGCUUUUUUGGAGGCGGUUACAUAGAGAACACAGGAGCCUCUGCCUUGGCCGCCCAGAUGCUUUGCAUUUUGUAAACAGCUUUGACUAAGUGCUCUGGACUUCCAAGAAGUUAACUGGAGUGGAAGGCGAGUCAUAUUGUGGAUGCGGAAUGGAAGCUUAGACAAGAAAAAACUGUCAGCAGAGCGCCUCUGCUCUCACCGUCACACCCAAAUGAGCCAGGACGUCGCUCAGAGCGCAAACUGAGAUCCACACAGGGACAUCUUCAACCGAAUCUUUCUUCUGUCUCCAUUCCGGACUAAGGAAAGAAAGAAAGAAAUACGGAGCCUUUAUAGAGUAUUCAGAGGCUACACACAUGGAUCUUGCUGAAACGGAGUUAUUUAAAAACAGAGAAAGUGUGUUUUCCCAUGAGAUAGAUGUUAUAGUUUCUCUCUGAAACAUACCCAAGUCUAUGGGUGUCAAUAAUAGCCAUUUCAAAUGCCUCUCUGAGCCUUGCCAGCCCCAGAAGAGGCUGUGGGAAUGCUGCUUCCAGCUUCCCCUGUGCAGAACUCCGUUGUAAAUCCUUCUGAGUUUCCAAGGUGGCAGCAGAGCAUAGGGAUAGCUCCUCAAGCUCCAGCAUCAACAAGGAAGAUCACAUUUUAGGACAAAUACUCAUCUACCUGCAUUUAAACAUCCAUUUUCGUAUGUUACAAGAUGAUUAUGCGUGAACAAAAACAGAAGGUACAUACUGGCAGGAAACAAAAGCACGUUAAACCAUGGAGAUUUCCUCUUACAUAAACCUGCCAUUUGUUAAGCAGUUGCUGUCUGUUCCACAGGGAAGCUGGCAAAAACUUGAUACAAACAUUCUCCAACUGCACUGGGAGGAAUAAGUGAAGGUAACAUAGAAAACUUCAGGCCAGGCAUGGUGGGUCAUACCUGUAAACCCAGCACUUUGGGAGCCUGAGGUGGGUGGAUCACCUGAGGUCAGGAGUUCGAGACCAGCCUGAACAAUAUGGUGAAACCCUGUCUCUACUAAAAAUACAAAAAUUAGUGGACGUGGUGGUGCGCACCUGUAAUCCCAGCUACUCCAGAGGCUGAGGCAGGAGAAUCGCUUGAACCCGGGAGGCAGAGGUUUCAGUGAGCCGAGAUCGCACCACUGUACUGCAGCCUGGGCGACAGAGCGAGAUGCUGUCUCAAGGAAAAAAAAAAAAGAAAGAAAACUUCAUAUGUCUUACAGGAUGAUACUCAUACAUAUGGAAAAGGCAUACAGCUGUAUCUGAGACAAUUCAUUACCAACUACGGAUAAACUAGUUAAGAUAUAGGAUAUGCUGACAACGGGUCACCAUCUGUAAAACGUGUUUAUGGAAAAUAAAACAUGUAUUUCCUAUGCCUAUACCUGCAACCUUCUUCUGAUUCAGCAGCAACCCUAAUGUCUCUUCUUCUACCUUCUAGAAGUUUACCACUUUCAUGCUACUACUUUUAACAUAUUUCAAAACAGUGAGAUUCAAACUAUGCAAUUAUAGAAGAAGAAGAAUUAAUCAAAAUGGAUAUCUAAAUAAUUGAAUGGGUAAGUUAGAAUCAUUAAUAACAAGAAAAUGUGGAUGUGGAGACAUCCACAUGCUUAUAAUGAUGGACAAAGCAGUGUGAAAUACAGCUAUGGAAUUGUUUCCUCUUCCUUGUAUAUCAUAAUCUAUAAAUGUCUAGUUAUUACAUCAUUAUCUCUCAUAGCUAUAGCAUCACUUUCUCAGAUUUCCUUAAUGUCCCAACAAAAAUUCAUGUUCAUUCUACCACUCCUGGGCCUUGUGUACUUCUCCUUAACAGUUGUUUUCUUUGCACUUUUCCAGAUUAAACUUCAUCUUGAUAUUAUAGAUUUUUUCUUUUUUUUCUUUAGUAUAUGAAUGGUAUCUGCAUUUUAUUACUUAUGUUAUUAAAUAUUUCUGAAACCCUA
Homo sapiens (human) is the source of this 2704-nucleotide long non-coding RNA. Ensembl annotates it as FLRT2 antisense RNA 1. Its record names the gene FLRT2-AS1. NCBI's taxonomy places the organism in Eukaryota, Metazoa, Chordata, Mammalia, Primates, Hominidae. The record is from Ensembl.